GUCUAUAGCCAUGCUACCCUGAACAAGCCCGAUCCCAUCUGAUCUCGAAAGCUAAGCAGGGUCCGGCCUGGUUAGUACUUGGAUGGGAGACCACCUAAAGGGUUGUCUGGCCUAGAUA
Molecule: ribosomal RNA, 118 nt
Filed under: Pteropus alecto (black flying fox)
Lineage: Eukaryota; Metazoa; Chordata; Mammalia; Chiroptera; Pteropodidae
Source: RNAcentral